Molecule: ribosomal RNA, 469 nt
Filed under: uncultured bacterium
Lineage: Bacteria
Description: bacterial SSU rRNA
Rfam family: Bacterial small subunit ribosomal RNA
Source: RNAcentral
AACGAACGUUAGCGGCGCGCUUAACACAUGCAAGUCGCACGAGAAAGGGAGGUUCGCCUCCCCAGUAAAGUGGCGCACGGGUGAGUAACACGUGGGUAACCUACCCCUGGGUGGGGGAUAACGUUCCGAAAGGAGCGCUAAUACCGCAUGAGACCACGUCCUGAAACGGAUGAGGUCAAAGCGGGCCUCUGCAUGCAAGCUCGCGCCUGGGGAUGGGCCCGCGGCCCAUCAGGUAGUUGGUGGGGUAACGGCCUACCAAGCCUAAGACGGGUAGCUGGUCUGAGAGGAUGAUCAGCCACAACUGGAACUGAGACACGGUCCAGACUCCUACGGGAGGCAGCAGUGGGGAAUCUUGCGCAAUGGGCGAAAGCCUGACGCAGCGACGCCGCGUGAGUGAUGAAGGCCUUAGGGUUGUAAAGCUCUGUGGAGAGGGACGAAUAAGGCAUGGCGAAUAUCCAUGUUGAUGACG